GGCCUCGUAGCUCAGUUGGCUAGAGCGUUGGCUGAACUAGAGUCUUGCCCUUGCUGGCGUGGGUUUGAAUCCCACCGAGGCCG
This 83-nucleotide transfer RNA is filed under the name Schistocephalus solidus. It matches the Rfam family "tRNA". From Rfam's summary of the family: Transfer RNA (tRNA) molecules are approximately 80 nucleotides in length. Their secondary structure includes four short double-helical elements and three loops (D, anti-codon, and T loops). The record is from Rfam by way of RNAcentral. Lineage: Eukaryota; Metazoa; Platyhelminthes; Cestoda; Diphyllobothriidea; Diphyllobothriidae.